This 2898-nucleotide long non-coding RNA is filed under the name Sus scrofa (pig). Its description in RNAcentral is "lncRNA (ENSSSCG00050007161.1)". The record is from RNAcentral. Lineage: Eukaryota; Metazoa; Chordata; Mammalia; Artiodactyla; Suidae.
UUUUUUUUUUUUUUUUUUUAAUCCUUCAUUAAGAGGAGGGGCUUGAUGUAAUGCCCCUCUCAGAAAUCAGUCAUGGUUUGCGGUGACUUUGGUGGCCCCUGCUAUUGUCCUCACAGGUCAGGAUGCAGUUUGAGACUUUGUUUCUUCCAAAUCUGACUGGAGGGAAAACCACUGCCACCACCACCAGCAGCACCACCACAAACACACUUUGCUGCAGCAAGCGACGCUGUUUCUUGUCAGCACCCAGGGGACUUUGUUUACCAUAAUUCACUUUAGAUGGGCAUAAUAAAAUAUUUUCUUGAGUAUUUUGUAAGAUUAAUAAAGCAGCAUUCCUAGGGAAAGUUUAUUAAUCCAUAACUUACAGAAAACUCCAGAGGAAGAAGAUAUGAGCUAUGUUCUCUGGGUGCAGACGUCAGGCGUGCCACUCGUAGAGUUGAAUUAUGCAUGCAUUAUUCAGCUAUAGCUACUUUCUAGGUGCAUUACAGGUGGCUGAUGUGAUGGUGACUUUGUCUUGGAUGUGGUCGAAACAAGCAGUUGUCUCUCUGUCUUUUUAGAUUGGGAGGGUGUGAAAGGGAAGGUGGCAAGGUGUAGAAUAAUCACAGCCCUUGUGAUGUCAUCCUUUCCAUCCCCUCGGCUGACAUGUCAGCCAGGUUAGUUAGACACCAAAGCGUGCUUUUGAACCUUGGCUCUUUUGCUGUGCAGGCACUGGGUGUCUGCUGUCUGUCAGAUGGAGAUGGUGGUGCUGGUGGCAGUGAUGAUAGUUAGGAUGAGGCGGAUGGAGGAGGAGGGUGACGGCUACUUCUGUGUCCUUGACACAGAGUUAUGAUUUAUGGGAAGGACUUGGUACGCUGUUCCUUCAUCCAUUCACUCAACAUUUUUGGGCCUGGACACGGUACUGGCACAAUGACGGGCUCCAAUUUUUUUUUUUUUUCUUUUUGGCAAUAAAAAAAGACACAGAUUUCUACCUCAAGAUCCAAGGUUAGUCCAGGAAGCACAAAUAAACAGACACUAAUAUGGUCAGGUAUGGCCCCGAAAAGCAUUAGUUGCAGUGAAAAAUAAGACGGAAGGAUGGAUGUUGCCAGGUUAGGAAAGCUAAACAUUCAGAAGGUGAUGUAGAAUUUGCUGAUGAUCUUUGGUGCAAUAAAUGUGUUCUGGGUACCCUGCUGGAUUUACAGGGUGAGCGUGACAGAAACUCUAGUUGCCCGUGUAGUGUGUACAGUCUCCUGUGGAAAUGCAGUCAACAAAGGCAGAAGGAGACAUGCUCUAGUUUGGGGGACCAUGAUAAAGGCAGGAAUGGGGACGUCCAUGUAUGAAGAGCCCUACGUAAGUUGGUUCUUUUUUUUUUUUCUUCUUUUUCCUGAUUUUGGUCAUCCCAUAGCAUAUGGAGUUCCCAGGCCAGGGAUCAGAGCAGAGCUACAGUUGUAAGUUACGCUGCCCAUGAACCGUAAGGUUGCGGGUUCGAUCCCUGACCUUGCUCAGGGGCUUAAUGAUCCGGCGUUGCCGUGAGCUGUGGUGUAGGUUGCAGACGCGGCUCGGAUCCUGCGUUGCUGUGGCUCUGGCGUAGGCUGGUGGCUACAGCAGGAGCGGCCCAAGAAAUGGCAAAAAGACAAAAGACAAAAAAAAAAAAAAAAAAAAGACAAAAAAAAAAAUCUGCCACUAAAUCACUCAAAGAAAACAACAAAUGUAUACAUGUAUAACUGGGUCACUAUGCUGUACAGUAGAAAAAAAAUAAUGUAUUGGGGAAAAAACAACAAACAAAAAAUAUUUGUAGAUGAGGUAUAACUGGCCUGUAGCUUUUAGCUCAUAAACUACCUACCCAUCAGUGAAUUUUGGCUUAUUCUUUUUUUUUAAUUAAAAAUAAAUUUUUAAUACAAUUUUUAAAGGUUGCUUUUCAUUUAUAGUUAAUAGGAAAUAUCUACUGUAUCACCCAUAUUGUACAAUACAUCCUUGAGCCUGUCAUUGAGCCAGUAGUUUUUUUUCCUCAUUUAUUGUAAACCAGCUAUAUUGGAAAAUAUAAAAAUCAUUAUAAAUGAGAAUUUUGGCUUAUUCUUUAUAAUUAGUGUGUUAUGACUACAUAAGUCUCCCUCAAGUGCAAGUUAGGUCAAUAUACCAUGGGGUAAAUUGGGCCAUUUUGGGUAAAGGAAAGUUUCUGCAAGACAGUUGAAUGGUGGAAAUUGGUUCUCACUUGUUUCUGUGUGUUCCUGCAGUCACCUUGCUUUUACUGUUCUUGGCCAGAUGCUUCUGAUACUUGGGACAGCUUCAGUCCAACCAGUGUCUGAGGCAAUUCUGGUGUGUACUUAGCUGUUUGCUGGACAGCCCUGAGGUUUUGUCUGUUUGUGUCUGAGUCUACAGCUGCCUUAAUUAAGCUUGUUAUGUGCUGCUACUGAGGCAAAUCCCUGCAGUGAGUCAAAUGAGUAGUUUUAGGGUCUGAAAAUGACAGCGUUCUGUGGCUUUCUCAUUUAGGGUUGAGCCUCCCAGCCACUAAAAUAUGCACAUUUCCAACCAGAGUGAGAACAUGAGCAACUUAGUAGUUACUGUGGAAUUGAGCGAAUGUCAUAAAUAUUUAUUUAUCUUCUUCAUAGCUGGCAUAAAAAUGUUAGGAUAUAAAAAAAGUUGUUCACUAUAAAAACAACAGAAAAUUCAUUGGCUAUACAUCUCCUGAAUGCAUGUGUCUCUUUGGGUUUUCAUUAGCGUCUAGCAAUAUACUUUGAGAAAUUAGAUUUGAACACAAGCUUCAGCAGAAGACGAGAGCCCCUGGUAUUCAUAAUUAACCUGUUUUUAGCAAGGAUCCAUUGCAUACUGUAGUCUUCUUUUAACCAUGUAGUGGCUGUGGUCAAGUUUGAUGAAUGGUUCUUUCUGAAUUUUUUCUUAGAGAAGCGAUCCCUGUUUAUUGAAUUU